RNAcentral lists this transfer RNA (62 nucleotides) under Rhodobiaceae bacterium. Its description in RNAcentral is "tRNA-Phe". It matches the Rfam family "tRNA", at positions 6 to 65 of the family's 71-position model. Rfam says of the family: Transfer RNA (tRNA) molecules are approximately 80 nucleotides in length. Their secondary structure includes four short double-helical elements and three loops (D, anti-codon, and T loops). Further hydrogen bonds mediate the characteristic L-shaped molecular structure. tRNAs have two regions of fundamental functional importance: the anti-codon, which is responsible for specific mRNA codon recognition, and the 3' end, to which the tRNAs corresponding amino acid is attached (by aminoacyl-tRNA synthetases). tRNAs cope with the degeneracy of the genetic code in two manners: having more than one tRNA (with a specific anti-codon) for a particular amino acid; and 'wobble' base-pairing, i.e. permitting non-standard base-pairing at the 3rd anti-codon position. The record is from RNAcentral. Lineage: Bacteria; Pseudomonadati; Pseudomonadota; Alphaproteobacteria; Hyphomicrobiales; Rhodobiaceae.
GGUAGCUCAGUUGGUAGAGCAGCGGACUGAAAAUCCGCGUGUCGGUGGUUCGAAUCCGCCCC